This 435-nucleotide ribosomal RNA is filed under the name uncultured bacterium. Its description in RNAcentral is "partial 16S ribosomal RNA". It matches the Rfam family "Bacterial small subunit ribosomal RNA", at positions 29 to 507 of the family's 1533-position model. The record is from RNAcentral.
AACGAACGCUGGCGGCAUGCCUAACACAUGCAAGUCGAACGAUUGCCUUCGGGUGAUAGUGGCGCACGGGUGCGUAACGCGUGGGAAUCUGCCCUUAGGUUCGGAAUAACAGCUGGAAACGGCUGCUAAUACCGGAUGAUAUCGCGAGAUCAAAGAUUUAUCGCCUGAGGAUGAGCCCGCGUUGGAUUAGGUAGUUGGUGGGGUAAAGGCCUACCAAGCCGACGAUCCAUAGCUGGUCUGAGAGGAUGAUCAGCCACACUGGGACUGAGACACGGCCCAGACUCCUACGGGAGGCAGCAGUGGGGAAUAUUGGACAAUGGGCGCAAGCCUGAUCCAGCAAUGCCGCGUGAGUGAUGAAGGCCCUAGGGUUGUAAAACUCUUUUACCCGGGAAGAUAAUGACUGUACCGGGAGAAUAAGCCCCGGCUAACUCCGUG